AGCAGCCGCGGUAAUUCCAGCUCCAAUAGCGUAUAUUAAAGUUGUUGCAGUUAAAAAGCUCGUAGUUGAAUUUCGGGGUCGGUAGGUUGGUCAUGCCUCUGGUAUGCACUGGUCUCACUGAUUCCUCCUUCCUGAUGAGCCGUAAUGCCAUUAAUUUGGUGUUGCGAGGAAUCUGGACUGUUACUUUGAAAAAAUUAGAGUGUUUAAAGCAAGCUAACGCUUGAAUACAUUAGCAUGGAAUAAUGGAAUAGGACGUUCGAUCCUAUUUUGUUGGUUUCUAGGAUUGACGUAAUGAUUAAUAGGGAUAGUUGGGGGCAUUAGUAUUCAAUUGUCAGAGGUGAAAUUCUUGGAUUUAUUGAAGACUAACUACUGCGAAAGCAUUUGCCAAGGAUGUUUUCAUUAAUCAAGAACGAAAGUUAGGGGAUCGAAGACGAUCAGAUACCGUCGUAGUCUUAACCAUAAACUAUGCCGACUAGGGAUCGGAUGAUGUUAAUUUUUAAUGACUCAUUC
RNAcentral lists this ribosomal RNA (510 nucleotides) under uncultured Glomus. RNAcentral describes it as "SSU rRNA". It matches the Rfam family "Eukaryotic small subunit ribosomal RNA", at positions 569 to 1081 of the family's 1831-position model. Lineage: Eukaryota; Fungi; Glomeromycota; Glomeromycetes; Glomerales; Glomeraceae. The record is from RNAcentral.